RNAcentral lists this ribosomal RNA (522 nucleotides) under uncultured bacterium. RNAcentral describes it as "bacterial SSU rRNA". It matches the Rfam family "Bacterial small subunit ribosomal RNA", at positions 8 to 518 of the family's 1533-position model. The record is from RNAcentral.
AGAGUUUGAUUAUGGCUCAGGAUGAACGCUAGCUACAGGCUUAACACAUGCAAGUCGAGGGGCAGCAUGAUCGAAGCUUGCUUUGAUUGAUGGCGACCGGCGCACGGGUGAGUAACGCGUAUCCAACCUUCCCUAUAGUAGAGGAUAGCCCGGCGAAAGUCGGAUUAAUACUCUAUGUUUUCCGAAGCAGACAUCUAAUUUGGAACAAAGGUUCACCGCUAUAGGAUGGGGAUGCGUCUGAUUAGGUAGUCGGCGGGGUAACGGCCCACCGAGCCAACGAUCAGUAGGGGUUCUGAGAGGAAGGUCCCCCACAUUGGAACUGAGACACGGUCCAAACUCCUACGGGAGGCAGCAGUGAGGAAUAUUGGUCAAUGGGCGAGAGCCUGAACCAGCCAAGUAAGCGUGCAGGAUGACGGCCCUAUGGGUUGUAAACUGCUUUUAUACGGGGAUAAAGUGAGGGACGUGUCCCUUUUUGUAGGUACCGUAUGAAUAAGGACCGGCUAAUUCCGUGCCAGCAGCAGC